This 406-nucleotide ribosomal RNA is filed under the name uncultured bacterium. RNAcentral's name for it is "partial 16S ribosomal RNA". It matches the Rfam family "Bacterial small subunit ribosomal RNA", at positions 30 to 526 of the family's 1533-position model. The record is from RNAcentral.
AUUGAACGCUGGCGGCAGGCCUAACACAUGCAAGUCGAACGAGUGGCGGACGGGUGAGUAAUGUAUGGGAAACUGCCUGAUGGAGGGGGAUAACUACUGGAACCGGUAGCUAAUACCGCAUACCAUCGGAUGUGCCCCGAUGGGAUUAGCUAGUAGGUGGGGUAAAGGCUCACCUAGGCGACGAUUCCUAGCUGGUCUGAGAGGCUGACCAGCCACACUGGAACUGAGACACGGGCCAGACUCCUACGGGAGGCAGCAGUGGGGAAUAUUGCACAAUGGGCGCAAGCCUGAUGCAGCCAUGCCGCGUGUAUGAAGAAGGCCUUCGGGUUGUAAAGUACUUUUGGCAGAGAAGCGGUAUCUGCAGAAUAAGCACCGGCUAACUACGUGCCAGCAGCCGCGGUAAUAC